UACGUAGGGGGCAAGCGUUGUCCGGAAUUAUUGGGCGUAAAGAGCGUGUAGGCGGUCCGGUAAGUCGGCUGUGAAAGUCCAGGGCUCAACCCUGGGAUGCCGGUCGAUACUGCCGGACUAGAGUUCGGAAGAGGCGAGUGGAAUUCCGGGUGUAGUGGUGAAAUGCGUAGAUAUCCGGAGGAACACCAGUGGCGAAGGCGACUUUCUGGCCUGUUCUUGACGCUGAGGCGCGAAAGCUAGGGGAGCAAACGGG
This 253-nucleotide ribosomal RNA is filed under the name uncultured bacterium. RNAcentral's name for it is "partial 16S ribosomal RNA". It matches the Rfam family "Bacterial small subunit ribosomal RNA", at positions 524 to 776 of the family's 1533-position model. The record is from RNAcentral.